GCGAAAAGAAAAUCCAAAUACUAUCAUCACGAGGACCGAUUUGUUUGUCGCCACUCAUAGCAGAUCUGAUGGGUCUUACCCAACACAAACACAUCUUGAAACAGCGGAAAGAAUAUUAUCGAUAGCUGGCAGUGAUCCUUCCAGUAAGCACAAGGAUUUAGACCACGACCCAGUUUCACAGGUUUGUGGUCGUGAUAGCAGAGGCCAGGUUAGGGGCAUGGGUUUGGGUAUUUCUAAGACUACUAUGAAGGUUGCCACUCCCUACAUCAUAGAAGCUCGGUCGGAGAGGAAUGCACGUAUGUCCAUUGAGGCUAAAUUUGAAGCAUCAAUGACUCAAAUGCAAGAAUUUCGUAUGAUUGUUGAGCAACAAUUUGCUGAACUUAGGCAACAAAUUACUUAUCAAAGCCAACUGCUUCACCGCUCCCCUGAU
Molecule: long non-coding RNA, 430 nt
Organism: Magnolia sinica
Lineage: Eukaryota; Viridiplantae; Streptophyta; Magnoliopsida; Magnoliales; Magnoliaceae
Exons: 3
Source: RefSeq, a predicted model, not a curated record